This 442-nucleotide ribosomal RNA is filed under the name uncultured bacterium. RNAcentral describes it as "partial 16S ribosomal RNA". It matches the Rfam family "Bacterial small subunit ribosomal RNA", at positions 338 to 795 of the family's 1533-position model. The record is from RNAcentral.
CCUACGUGAGGCAGCAGUGGGGAAUAUUGGGCAAUGGGCGCAAGCCUGACCCAGCAACGCCGCGUGAGGGAAGAAGGCUUUCGGGUUGUUAACUUCCUUUAAGGGGGAAGCGCAGAAGACGAUGCCCCUUGAAUAAGCCACGGCUAACUACGUGCCAGCAGCCGCGGUAAUACGUAGGUGGCAAGCUUUGUCCGGAUUUACUGGGUUUAACGGGCGUGCAGCCGGGGAUACAAGUCAGAUGUGAAAUCCACGGGCUCAACCCGUGGACGGCAGUUGAAACUGUUUCCCUUGAGUGUGCGAGAGGUAAUCGGAAUGCGUGGUGUAGCGGUGAAAUGCGUAGAUAUAAGGAAGAACACCAGUGGCGAAGGCAGAAUACUGGAGGAUAACUGACGGUGAGGCGCGAAAGCGUGGGGAGCAAACAGGAUUAGAUACCCCGGUAGUC